This 460-nucleotide long non-coding RNA is filed under the name Brassica napus (rape). Its description in RNAcentral is "long non-coding RNA (BNAP_LNC022286)". Lineage: Eukaryota; Viridiplantae; Streptophyta; Magnoliopsida; Brassicales; Brassicaceae. The record is from RNAcentral.
CGAAGAAGAACGUGACCGAGGAGUCCUAUUGCUUCUCACCCUAUUCCUCCUCCGAUACUCAAUCCCCACACAAACCAUAUGCAACACGCAUUGCAGCGCAUACCCCAAGAGCCAAACCCUAAGCGGCAUUAUCGGAUUCUCAUUCCUGGCCAUCACCAGAACAGCCCCCGCCACCGACACAAACGCCAAGUUCCACACGAUGUCCAGCACCACGAUGGGCUUCGAGUAGGCCCAAUCGCUCUGCCUCUCCUCCAGCUACUCCGCCGCCGCCUCCCUCACGACCAUAGACGGCUAAGUCUUCAACGAAGAAGCUCAUCACAAGAACAGCAGCAGCCACCGAGACAAAGGCCAAGUUCCACACGAUGUCGAGCACCACGACGGGCUUCGAGUAAGCCCAAUCGCUCUGUCUCUCCUCGAGCUGCUCCGCCGCAGCCUCCCUCACGAGCAUAGACGGCUCCCG